RNAcentral lists this unclassified non-coding RNA (186 nucleotides) under soil metagenome. RNAcentral describes it as "partial contains 5.8S ribosomal RNA, internal transcribed spacer 2, and large subunit ribosomal RNA". The record is from RNAcentral.
AACAAGGCGUACCUGCGGACCUGCGGAAGGAUCAUUAAAGAGUUACAAAACUCCCACCAUUGUGAACGAACCUUUUAUGCUCAGGCGAGCGGCGCUCUGUCGCUGCAAGCCGACGGCAUUAAACUCUUAAUUCAGUGAAUAUCUGAGUAGCUUAUUUAAUAAGUCAAAACUUUUAGCAACGGAUCU